UACGGAGGGUGCAAGCGUUGUUCGGAUUUACUGGGCGUAAGGCGCGCGCAGGUGGUUGAGCAAGUCGGAAGUGAAAUCUUGAGGCUCAACCUCGAGGCUGCUCCCGAAACUGUUCGUCUAGGGACUGGUAGAGGCUGGUAGAAUUCCCGGUGUAGCGGUGGAAUGCGUAGAGAUCGGGAAGAAUACCCGUGGCGAAGGCGGCCAGCUGGGCCAGGUCCGACACUGAGGCGCGAAAGCGUGGGGAGCAAACAGG
RNAcentral lists this ribosomal RNA (253 nucleotides) under uncultured bacterium. Its description in RNAcentral is "partial 16S ribosomal RNA". It matches the Rfam family "Bacterial small subunit ribosomal RNA", at positions 524 to 776 of the family's 1533-position model. The record is from RNAcentral.